This 497-nucleotide ribosomal RNA is filed under the name uncultured bacterium. Its description in RNAcentral is "partial 16S ribosomal RNA". It matches the Rfam family "Bacterial small subunit ribosomal RNA", at positions 28 to 507 of the family's 1533-position model. The record is from RNAcentral.
GAUGAACGCUGGCGGCGUGCCUAAUACAUGCAAGUCGAGCGAACGGACGAUAAGCUUGCUUCUCUGAUGUUAGCGGCGGACGGGUGAGUAACACGUGGAUAACCUACCUAUAAGACUGGGAUAACUUCGGGAAACCGGAGCUAAUACCGGAGAAUAUUUUGAACCGCAUGGUUCAAAAGUGAAAGACGGUCUUGCUGUCACUUAUAGAUGGAUCCGCGCUGCAUUAGCUAGUUGGUAAGGUAACGGCUUACCAAGGCAACGAUGCAUAGCCGACCUGAGAGGGUGAUCGGCCACACUGGAACUGAGACACGGUCCAGACUCCUACGGGAGGCAGCAGUAGGGAAUCUUCCGCAAUGGGCGAAAGCCUGACGCAGCAACGCCGCGUGAGUGAUGAAGGUCUUCGGAUCGUAAAACUCUGUUAUUAGGGAAGAACAUAUGUGUAAGUAACUGUGCACAUCUUGACGGUACCUAAUCAGAAAGCCACGGCUAACUACGUG